AUGGAUAAACUGAUUUCUAGCAAUCAAUCUGCCUUUAUCAAGGGCAGAUAUAUACUGGAAAGCGUGGUGGUAGCACACGAAGCCAUCCAUUCUUUGUCUAAAACCGGGGAGAAUGGAAUUGUCCUAAAGCUAGACUAUGAGAAAGCUUUUGACAAAGUAAAUCUAGACUUCCUAGAGGAUCUCCUUCACAAAAGGGGGUUUGGCAAAAAGUGGAUCGGCUAGAUCAACAAGAUCACCCGUGGGGGAUCUGUAGGGGUCAAGCUUAAUAACCUUGAGAGUAAUUACUUCCUCAUAGGAAAAGGGUUGCGCCAAGGUGAUCCCGCGUCCCCCUUACUCUUUAAUUUAGUGAUAGACAUUCUCACUAAAAUGCUGAUUAAAGCCUCAGAUGAGGGGCUGCUUAGAGGUCUGUGCUACGAUAGCUGCCCUGGAGGUCUGAUUAGCCUCUAGUAUGCAGAUGAUACGAUCAUG
Molecule: ribosomal RNA, 468 nt
Filed under: Triticum aestivum (bread wheat)
Lineage: Eukaryota; Viridiplantae; Streptophyta; Magnoliopsida; Poales; Poaceae
Description: partial small subunit ribosomal RNA
Source: RNAcentral